Molecule: long non-coding RNA, 1417 nt
Organism: Labrus mixtus (cuckoo wrasse)
Lineage: Eukaryota; Metazoa; Chordata; Actinopteri; Labriformes; Labridae
Exons: 2
Source: RefSeq, a predicted model, not a curated record
UCAGUGUGCCUUAAAAAUGUGAAGAAAUAAUCUUCAAAGUUUUGUCUUGUAUUUCCUGGGGUGCAAGCUCCCAGGUGGCGCUGUCGAUAUCUUGCUGCUUUUAAAGACUUAUUAACACAAAAAUCAUGUGUCAUAAAAACAGGAGGAACAAGCCAGCAGCAACAUGACUAAACUCCUUUUAACUGCAACAUGAACUGGGGGAAGCGGAGGAGAGGGCUGACAUUUCUGAGUCACAGGUCAACAAGAUGAAAGCCAUGAGCAGCCUGACAGAAGGUCAGUGAUGCAAUAAUGUCGGUAUUUUUGUUUCACUUGGAACAGAUCAACUCACUCUGUAGUGCAGCAUACAGUGGAUAUAGUGAAGUCUUUCAUUGAGCUGUUUUGAGCUAGCGUUACAUGGUAUGUGUGUGUAUGUGUAUGUGUAUGUGUGUGUGUGUGGCUCUGCUUCCCUCCUCCUUUCCUUCUCUGAGAAUGUACCCGCUGAUUACAGUACCCCGCUAUUACUUCCUUUGAUUCCAGAAGUUAUUGAUACAUCUCAAAACUGCUCUAAGGACACAGGAUUUAUUUUGAACUCAUGCUCAUCUGAUACGUUUAAAUUUUGACAUGAAUUAGUUUGGCUUUGCUGUUGCCAUGGGUUAUUUAGUAUUAUAAGUUUGCUGAGGUUUUUUACUUGAUUUGAAUGAUUCAUUUAAAGACACAGAGCAGUUGAAAGGAGAUGAAAGAAUGUGCCUUUAGCUAUUUAUUUAACAUUAAUAUGAGGGACACAUGCUUACCAGUAUUUAAGAGUGAAGACCCUGUUCUUAAGGUGGCCUCUCUACACUAAGACUCUGCACUCCACCACAUCUGGAGUAAGCCAAGUCCAGUGCAGGGAGGAGGACUGGCCCUCCGUCUUGGAAAGUGGACUUGGUUUUUCUGUGCUUUUUAAGAGACUCUAGGCUUUUCUAUGGCAGGUCAUGCACAGAUGGCAGAGGCUGCUAUAAAGUCUUUAUCAGUAUUAACUUAUCCAUUCAUACACAUUCACACUCUAAGCAAUUUUUGGAAAAGGGACUUACCCAAGGACACAUCGGCAUGUGUCUGCAGGAGCUGGGGAUCCAACUCCAGACUGGUUGAGGAAACACCGACUCCACCACGGUGACACAGCCACCAUGUUUAAUUUCAAACUCAAUUGAAAUCAUUAACUCAAGUAACUCCAUAUUAGGAUUUUUGUAAAUCAGAAUAAUGCACUUACCAGUCCCAUAGCCUACUUUUGCCUUUAAAACAAAGUUUAAGGGCCGUCUAAUUAAAGUUAUUGUAUCAGAAUUAUGAGUCCAAACACAGAUUUCAGGAUCUUUGUAUCGAAACAAUUUUAUUUUGAAAAUUCAUGUAAAAUGUUUUUAUAAACUAACAAUCUUUCAAAAAUAAAGGGAUUGAACAAGUUUGA